GUUAACGCAAUAAGCACUCCGCCUGGGGAGUACGGCCGCAAGGCUGAAACUCAAAGGAAUUGACGGGGGCCCGCACAAGCGGUGGAGCAUGUGGUUUAAUUCGAAGCAACGCGAAGAACCUUACCAGGUCUUGACAUCUUCGGACCACCCUAGAGAUAGGGUCUUCCCUUCGGGGACCGAAUGACAGGUGGUGCAUGGUUGUCGUCAGCUCGUGUCGUGAGAUGUUGGGUUAAGUCCCGCAACGAGCGCAACCCUUGUCCUUAGUUGCCAGCAUUAAGUUGGGCACUCUAAGGAGACUGCCGGUGACAAACCGGAGGAAGGUGGGGAUGACGUCAAAUCAUCAUGCCCCUUAUGACCUGGGCUACACACGUGCUACAAUGGAUGGUACAAAGGGCAGCAAAACCGCGAGGUCGAGCAAAUCCCAUAAAGCCAUUCUCAGUUCGGAUUGUAGGCUGCAACUCGCCUACAUGUANCNGGAAUCGUUAGUAAUCGNGGAUCAGCAUGCNGCGGUGAAUNCGUUCCCGGGCCUUGUACACACCGCCCGUCACACCAGCGAGAUGUUGGCAACACCCGAAGUCGGUGACGGUAACCUUUAUGGAGCCAUGCCGCCGAAUGGUGGGAUCAGUGAUCUGGGGUGAAG
Molecule: ribosomal RNA, 640 nt
Filed under: uncultured bacterium
Lineage: Bacteria
Description: bacterial SSU rRNA
Rfam family: Bacterial small subunit ribosomal RNA
Source: RNAcentral